UACGGAGAGUGCAAACGUUGUUCGGAUUCACUGGGCGUAAAGGGCACGUAGGCGGCCGCCUAAGUCAGACGUGAAAUCCCUCGGCUCAACCGGGGAACUGCGUCUGAUACUGGGUGGCUUGAAUCCGGGAGAGGGAUGCGGAAUUCCAGGUGUAGCGGUGAAAUGCGUAGAUAUCUGGAGGAACACCGGUGGCGAAGGCGGCAUCCUGGACCGGCAUUGACGCUGAGGCGCGAAAGCCAGGGGAGCAAACGGG
This 253-nucleotide ribosomal RNA is filed under the name uncultured bacterium. RNAcentral describes it as "partial 16S ribosomal RNA". It matches the Rfam family "Bacterial small subunit ribosomal RNA", at positions 524 to 776 of the family's 1533-position model. The record is from RNAcentral.